AUUGAACGCUGGCGGCAGGCCUAACACAUGCAAGUCGAACGAGUGGCGGACGGGUGAGUAAUGUCUGGGAAACUGCCUGAUGGAGGGGGAUAACUACUGGAAACGGGAGCUAAUACCGCAUACCAUCGGAUGUGCCCAUAUGGGAUUAGCUGGUAGGUGGGGUAACGGCUCACCUAGGCGAAGAUCCCUAGCUGGUCUGAGAGGAUGACCACCCACACUGGAACUGGGACCCGGUCCAGACUCCUACGUGAGGCAGCAGUGGGGAAUAUUGCACAAUGGGCGCAAGCCUAAUGCAGCCAUGCCGCGGGUGUGAAGAAGGCCUUCGGUUUGUAAAGCACUUUCAGCGGGGAGGCGUUACCCGCAGAAGAAGCACCGGCUAACUCCGUGCCAGCAGCCGCGGUAAUUC
This 406-nucleotide ribosomal RNA is filed under the name uncultured bacterium. RNAcentral describes it as "partial 16S ribosomal RNA". It matches the Rfam family "Bacterial small subunit ribosomal RNA", at positions 30 to 526 of the family's 1533-position model. The record is from RNAcentral.